RNAcentral lists this long non-coding RNA (3224 nucleotides) under Lotus japonicus. RNAcentral describes it as "long non-coding RNA (LJAP_LNC000084)". The record is from RNAcentral. Lineage: Eukaryota; Viridiplantae; Streptophyta; Magnoliopsida; Fabales; Fabaceae.
AAAUCAAAAUAAACUUCCAAAAUUACCCUUUGUUAUUAGUGUUGGAAAGGGGGAAAGAGAGAGAAUAAUUAAUGACACACAUUUUACAAGUUAGAAUUAAUAAGGGCAUCAUUGGAAAAAAUUAAUUAAUAUAGCUCAAACAUUCAUUUGGUUCUUAUAAAAAGGACCAAAUUUUUUCUUCUCUUUCAUGCUUAUAAAUAGGACCGGAGGGAGUAUUUAUUAGCAUUGACAGGGCAUCCACUUAACCCAUAUGGAUUGAGCCAGGGAGAUAAAUAAGUAAUGCUAAAACAAAAUGCUCAUGGCUAAAAACCCACCACCAUUCCCACUCGGUGAAAAACAUCACACUACAAUAUUCACUCCCAAAAAUCUGUUUCCCCUGAUCUUAACAACUUUAGCCAGGGAAAAAGUAAUAUUUUAAAACAAAGGCAAGGAAAAAGUUAAAAUAAUACCGUUUCUUUUUCUUUUUAUUUUUUAAAAAUCAGUGGCCAUGCUUCUUCUGCUUCUUACACAAAACUUCAAUCAAUUGCAGUACUAAAUAUUGACAAAUAAUCAACCGCACUAAAUUAAAAAUAACGGAAAAAUACAUAGUAAAAAAACUCAAAUCGCCGUGGUCAAAUUGGCAAGUCCUAGAAAAAAAACUUAUGUUAUUAACAUGGAAUCGGUGUAGGAGUUCCCGAACCCGAACAACUAUUCAAGUUGCCAAGAACUAAAAAUUCCCUCAUCAUUUAUAUAAGCAUUGACGGAAGCAUCCACUUAACCCAUAUGUAAUGAGCCAGAGAAAAAAAGUAAGCAAUGCUAAAACUACUACCCAAUGUUUCCAACCACGCAAAUAGAAGCAAUGAAUACAUAGUAAAAAAACUCAAAUCGCCGUGGUCAAAUUGGCAAGUCCUAGAAAAAAAAACUUAUGUUAUUAACAUGGAAUCGGUGUAGGAGUUCCCGAACCCGAACAACUAUACAAGUUGCCAAGAACUAAAAACUCCCUCAUCAUUUAUAUAAGCAUUGACGGAAGCAUCCACUUAACCCAUAUGUAAUGAGCCAGAGAAAAAAAGUAAGCAAUGCUAAAACUACUACACAAUGUUUCCAACCACGCAAAUAGAAGCAAUGUUUCUCGAAUUGAGAGGUCUUAAGCAUCAUCUAAUUACUUAAUCUACACAUUCAAUGAUCUUGUAGGGAAUUAGAAAUGUAGGAGUUCCCGAACCCGAACAACUAUCAAGUUGCCAAGAACUAAAAACUCCCUCAUCAUUUAUAUAAGCAUUAACGGAAGCAUCCACUUAACCCAUAUGUAUUGAGCCAGAGAAAAAAAGUAAGCAAUGCUAAAACUACUACACAAUGUUUCCAACCCCGCAAAUAGAAGCAAUGUUUCUUGAAUUGAGAGGUCUCAAGCAUAAUCUAAUUACUUAAUCUACACAUUCAAUGAUCUUGGUGGGAAUUAGAAAUGCAGGAGUUCCAGAACCCAAUUCAAGAAAAAUAAAUUAAAUACAUAGUAAAAAAUAACGGAAAAUACAUAGUAAUCAAAUUGGCAAGUCCUAGAAAAAAAACAUAUGUUAUUAACAUGGAAUCGGUGUAGGAGUUCCCGAACCCGAACAACUAUACAAGUUGCCAAGAACUAAAAACUCCCUCAUCAUUUAUAUAAGCAUUGACGGAAGCAUCCACUUAACCCAUAUGUAAUGAGCCAAAGAAAAAAAGUAAGCAAUGCUAAAACUACUACACAAUGUUUCCAACCACGCAAAUAGAAGCAAUGAAUACAUAGUAAAAAAACUCAAAUCGCCGUGGUCAAAUUGGCAAGUCCUAGAAAAAAAACAUGUUAUUAACAUGGAAUCGGUGUAGGAGUUCCCGAACCCGAACAACUAUACAAGUUGCCAAGAACUAAAAACUCCCUCAUCACUUAUAUAAGCAUUGACGGAAGCAUCCACUUAACCCAUAUGUAAUGAGCCAGAGAAAAAAAGUAAGCAAUGCUAAAACUACUACCCAAUGUUUCCAACCACGCAAAUAGAAGCAAUGAAUACAUAGUAAAAAAACUCAAAUCGCCGUGGUCAAAUUGGCAAGUCCUAGAAAAAAAAACUUAUGUUAUUAACAUGGAAUCGGUGUAGGAGUUCCCGAACCCGAACAACUAUACAAGUUGCCAAGAACUAAAAACUCCCUCAUCAUUUAUAUAAGCAUUGACGGAAGCAUCCACUUAACCCAUAUGUAAUGAGCCAGAGAAAAAAAGUAAGCAAUGCUAAAACUACUACACAAUGUUUCCAACCACGCAAAUAGAAGCAAUGUUUCUCGAAUUGAGAGGUCUUAAGCAUCAUCUAAUUACUUAAUCUACACAUUCAAUGAUCUUGUAGGGAAUUAGAAAUGUAGGAGUUCCCGAACCCGAACAACUAUCAAGUUGCCAAGAACUAAAAACUCCCUCAUCAUUUAUAUAAGCAUUAACGGAAGCAUCCACUUAACCCAUAUGUAUUGAGCCAGAGAAAAAAAGUAAGCAAUGCUAAAACUACUACACAAUGUUUCCAACCCCGCAAAUAGAAGCAAUGUUUCUUGAAUUGAGAGGUCUCAAGCAUAAUCUAAUUACUUAAUCUACACAUUCAAUGAUCUUGGUGGGAAUUAGAAAUGCAGGAGUUCCAGAACCCAAUUCAAGAAAAAUAAAUUAAAUACAUAGUAAAAAAUAACGGAAAAUACAUAGUAAUCAAAUUGGCAAGUCCUAGAAAAAAAACAUAUGUUAUUAACAUGGAAUCGGUGUAGGAGUUCCCGAACCCGAACAACUAUACAAGUUGCCAAGAACUAAAAACUCCCUCAUCAUUUAUGUAAGCAUUGACGGAAGCAUCCACUUAACCCAUAUGUAUUGAGCCAGAGAAAAAAAGUAAGCAAUGCUAAAACUACUACACAAUGUUUCCAACCACGCAAAUAGAAGCAAUGUUUCUUGAAUUGAGAGGUCUUAAGCAUCAUCUAAUUAAUUAAUCCACACAUUCAAUGAUCUUGUAGGGAAUUAGAAAUGUAGGAGUUCCCGAACCCGAACAACUAUACAAGUUGCCAAGAACUAAAAACUCCCUCAUCAUUUAUAUAAGCAUUGACGGAAGCAUCCACUUAACCCAUAUGUAUUGAGCCAGUGAAAAAAAAAGUAAGCAAUGCUAAAACAAAAUGAUCAAGCCUUAGAACCCCAAACCCACCACCAUUCCCAUCUAUAAAAUAACACUAUCAAAUGCAUUCCCCAAAAAUUAGUUUCCUCAAAUUUUACCCCU